ACGGUUGUAGUCUAAUUGGUUAGGAUAUUUGGAUCGCAUCCAAAAAGACCUGGGUUCAAGACUUCAAGUCCCAGCGAUGGAA
This 82-nucleotide transfer RNA is filed under the name Rosa chinensis. RNAcentral's name for it is "tRNA RchiOBHm_Chr4g0415761". The stretch from base 5 to 77 matches the Rfam family "tRNA", at positions 5 to 66 of the family's 71-position model. Rfam says of the family: Transfer RNA (tRNA) molecules are approximately 80 nucleotides in length. Their secondary structure includes four short double-helical elements and three loops (D, anti-codon, and T loops). The record is from RNAcentral. Lineage: Eukaryota; Viridiplantae; Streptophyta; Magnoliopsida; Rosales; Rosaceae.